Molecule: ribosomal RNA, 244 nt
Filed under: uncultured bacterium
Lineage: Bacteria
Description: partial small subunit ribosomal RNA
Rfam family: Bacterial small subunit ribosomal RNA
Source: RNAcentral
AGAAUCAACGCUGGCGGCGUGCCUAACACAUGCAAGUCGAACGAGAAAGUGGAGCAAUCCAUGAGUAAAGUGGCGACCGGGUGAGUAACACGUGACUAACCUACCUUCGAGUGGGGGAUAACCUCGGGAAACCGAGGCUAAUACCGCAUAACAUCGCAAGAUCAAAGCAGCAAUGCGCUUGAAGAGGGGGUCGCGGCUGAUUAGCUAGUUGGCGGGUAACGGCCCACCAAGGCGAAGAUCGGUA